RNAcentral lists this ribosomal RNA (1355 nucleotides) under uncultured bacterium. RNAcentral describes it as "bacterial SSU rRNA". It matches the Rfam family "Bacterial small subunit ribosomal RNA", at positions 28 to 1381 of the family's 1533-position model. The record is from RNAcentral.
AUUGAACGCUGUCGGCAGGCUUAACACAUGCAAGUCGAACGAUGAUUAUCUAGCUUGCUAGAUAUGAUUAGUGGCGGACGGGUGAGUAACAUUUAGGAAUCUGCCUAGUAGUGGGGGAUAGCUCGGGGAAACUCGAAUUAAUACCGCAUACGACCUACGGGUGAAAGGGGGCGCAAGCUCUUGCUAUUAGAUGAGCCUAAAUCAGAUUAGCUAGUUGGUGGGGUAAAGGCCCACCAAGGCGACGAUCUGUAACUGGUCUGAGAGGAUGAUCAGUCACACCGGAACUGAGACACGGUCCGGACUCCUACGGGAGGCAGCAGUGGGGAAUAUUGGACAAUGGGGGCAACCCUGGUCCAGCCAUGCCGCGUGUGUGAAGAAGGCCUUUUGGUUGUAAAGCACUUUAAGCAGGGAGGAGAGGCUAAUGGUUAAUACCCAUUAGAUUAGACGUUACCUGCAGAAUAAGCACCGGCUAACUCUGUGCCAGCAGCCGCGGUAAUACAGAGGGUGCGAGCGUUAAUCGGGAUUACUGGGCGUAAAGCGAGUGUAGGUGGCUCAUUAAGUCACAUGUGAAAUCCCCGGGCUUAACCUGGGAACUGCAUGUGAUACUGGUGGUGCUAGAAUAUGUGAGAGGGAAGUAGAAUUCCAGGUGUAGCGGUGAAAUGCGUAGAGAUCUGGAGGAAUACCGAUGGCGAAGGCAGCUUCCUGGCAUAAUAUUGACACUGAGAUUCGAAAGCGUGGGUAGCAAACAGGAUUAGAUACCCUGGUAGUCCACGCCGUAAACGAUGUCUACUAGCCGUUGGGGUCCUUGAGACUUUAGUGGCGCAGUUAACGCGAUAAGUAGACCGCCUGGGGAGUACGGCCGCGAGGUUAAAACUCAAAUGAAUUGACGGGGGCCCGCACAAGCGGUGGAGCAUGUGGUUUAAUUCGAUGCAACGCGAAGAACCUUACCUGGUCUUGACAUAGUGAGAAUCCUGCAGAGAUGCGGGAGUGCCUUCGGGAAUUCACAUACAGGUGCUGCAUGGCUGUCGUCAGCUCGUGUCGUGAGAUGUUGGGUUAAGUCCCGCAACGAGCGCAACCCUUUUCCUUAUUUGCCAGCGGGUUAAGCCGGGAACUUUAAGGAUACUGCCAGUGGCAAACUGGAGGAAGGCGGGGACGACGUCAAGUCAUCAUGGCCCUUACGACCAGGGCUACACACGUGCUACAAUGGUAGGUACAGAGGGUUGCUACACAGCGACGUGAUGCUAAUCUCAAAAAGCCUAUCGUAGUCCGGAUUGGAGUCUGCAACUCGACUCCAUGAAGUCGGAAUCGCUAGUAAUCGCAGAUCAGAAUGCUGCGGUGAAUACGUUCCCGGGCCU